GACGAACGCUGGCGGCGUGCCUAAUACAUGCAAGUUGAGCGCUGAAGGUUGGUACUUGUACCAACUGGAUGAGCAGCGAACGGGUGAGUAACGCGUGGGGAAUCUGCCUUUGAGCGGGGGACAACAUUUGGAAACGAAUGCUAAUACCGCAUAAAAACUUUAAACACAAGUUUUAAGUUUGAAAGAUGCAAUUGCAUCACUCAAAGAUGAUCCCGCGUUGUAUUAGCUAGUUGGUGAGGUAAAGGCUCACCAAGGCGAUGAUACAUAGCCGACCUGGGAGGGUGAUCGGCCACAUUGGGACUGAGACACGGCCCAAACUCCUACGGGAGGCAGCAGUAGGGAAUCUUCGGCAAUGGACGAAAGUCUGACCGAGCAACGCCGCGUGAGCGAAGAAGGUUUUCGGAUCGUAAAACUCUGUUGGUAGAGAAGAACGUUGGUGAGAGUGGAAAGCUCAUCAAGUGACGGUAACUACCCAGAAAGGGACGGCUAACUACGUG
This 497-nucleotide ribosomal RNA is filed under the name uncultured bacterium. RNAcentral describes it as "partial 16S ribosomal RNA". It matches the Rfam family "Bacterial small subunit ribosomal RNA", at positions 28 to 507 of the family's 1533-position model. The record is from RNAcentral.